AAAUCUGGCACUUUCAGUGUCCGAGUUGUAAUUUGAAGAAGGUAUCUUUGGGUCUGGCUCUUGUCUAUGUUUCUUGGAACAGAACGUCACAGAGGGUGAGAAUCCCGUGCGAUGAGAUGUCCCAGACCUAUGUAAAGUUCCUUCGAAGAGUCGAGUUGUUUGGGAAUGCAGCUCUAAGUGGGUGGUAAAUUCCAUCUAAAGCUAAAUAUUGGCGAGAGACCGAUAGCGAACAAGUACAGUGAUGGAAAGAUGAAAAGAACUUUGAAAAGAGAGUGAAAAAGUACGUGAAAUUGUUGAAAGGGAAGGGCUUGAGAUCAGACUUGGUAUUUUGUAUGUUACUCUCUCGGGGGUGGCCUCUACAGUUUACCGGGCCAGCAUCAGUUUGGGCGGUAGGACAAUUGCAAAGAAAUGUGGCACUGCCUCGGUAGUGUGUUAUAGUCUUUGUCGAUACUGCCAGCCUAGACUGAGGACUGCGGCUUCGGCCUAGGAUGUUGGCAUAAUGAUCUUGAGUCGCC
RNAcentral lists this ribosomal RNA (515 nucleotides) under Lodderomyces orthopsilosis. RNAcentral describes it as "eukaryotic LSU rRNA". It matches the Rfam family "Eukaryotic large subunit ribosomal RNA", at positions 118 to 649 of the family's 3401-position model. The record is from RNAcentral. Lineage: Eukaryota; Fungi; Ascomycota; Pichiomycetes; Serinales; Debaryomycetaceae.